UUACAUACAGUAAUGUAUAAUAGAAGAUAUGAAAGAAGUCAGCAGCGUUCGUAGUACCAAUCGUAAAGAUGCUCGGUUUAAUCCCAAGCUACAACUUCCGAUUGGGAAGGAA
This is a non-coding RNA of Candidatus Nomurabacteria bacterium, 112 nucleotides long. Lineage: Bacteria; Candidatus Nomuraibacteriota. The record is from Rfam.